Molecule: ribosomal RNA, 502 nt
Filed under: uncultured bacterium
Lineage: Bacteria
Description: bacterial SSU rRNA
Rfam family: Bacterial small subunit ribosomal RNA
Source: RNAcentral
GAUGAACGCUAGCUACAGGCUUAACACAUGCAAGUCGAGGGGAAACGAUAGAGAAAGCUUGCUUUUUCUAGGCGUCGACCGGCGCACGGGUGAGUAACGCGUAUCCAACCUGCCCAUCACUUGGGGAUAACCUUGCGAAAGUAAGACUAAUACCCAAUGAUAUCUCUAGAAGACAUCUGAAAGAGAUUAAAGAUUUAUCGGUGAUGGAUGGGGAUGCGUCUGAUUAGCUUGUUGGCGGGGUAACGGCCCACCAAGGCGACGAUCAGUAGGGGUUCUGAGAGGAAGGUCCCCCACAUUGGAACUGAGACACGGUCCAAACUCCUACGGGAGGCAGCAGUGAGGAAUAUUGGUCAAUGGACGAGAGUCUGAACCAGCCAAGUAGCGUGCAGGAUGACGGCCCUAUGGGUUGUAAACUGCUUUUAUAAGGGAAUAAAGUGAGUCUCGUGAGACUUUUUGCAUGUACCUUAUGAAUAAGGACCGGCUAAUUCCGUGCCAGCAGCCG